Molecule: ribosomal RNA, 524 nt
Filed under: bacterium
Lineage: Bacteria
Description: bacterial SSU rRNA
Rfam family: Bacterial small subunit ribosomal RNA
Source: RNAcentral
UGCAGUCGAGCGAAGACUUCGGUCUUAGCGGCAGACGGGUGAGUAACGCGUGGGAAUCUACCCAACCCUACGGAAUAGCUCCGGGAAACUGGAAUUAAUACCGUAUACGCCCUUCGGGGGAAAGAUUUAUCGGGGAUGGAUGAGCCCGCGUUGGAUUAGCUAGUUGGUGGGGUAAAAGCCUACCAAGGCGACGAUCCAUAGCUGGUCUGAGAGGAUGAUCAGCCACAUUGGGACUGAGACACGGCCCAAACUCCUACGGGAGGCAGCAGUGGGGAAUAUUGGACAAUGGGCGCAAGCCUGAUCCAGCCAUGCCGCGUGAGUGAUGAAGGCCCUAGGGUUGUAAAGCUCUUUCAACGGUGAAGAUAAUGACGGUAACCGUAGAAGAAGCCCCGGCUAACUUCGUGCCAGCAGCCGCGGUAAUACGAAGGGGGCUAGCGUUGUUCGGAAUUACUGGGCGUAAAGCGCGCGUAGGCGGAUCGGUUAGUUGGGGGUGAAAUCCCAGGGCUCAACCCUGGAACUGCCUC